This 432-nucleotide ribosomal RNA is filed under the name uncultured bacterium. RNAcentral describes it as "partial 16S ribosomal RNA". It matches the Rfam family "Bacterial small subunit ribosomal RNA", at positions 29 to 506 of the family's 1533-position model. The record is from RNAcentral.
AACGAACGCUGGCGGCAUGCCUAACACAUGCAAGUCGAACGAGACCUUCGGGUCUAUUGUCGCACGGGUGCGUAACGCGUGGGAACCUGCCCUUAGGUUCGGAAUACCUCCCCGAAUGGGGUGCUAAUACCGGAUAAUGUCUUCUGACCAAAGAUUUAUCGCCUUUGGAUGGGCCCACGUUGGAUUAGCUAGUUGGUAGGGUAAAAGCCCACAAAGGCGACGAUCCAUAGCUGGUCGGAGAGGAUGAUCAGCCACACUGGGAGUGGGACCAGGCCCAGACUCCGCGGAAAGGCAGAAGGGGGGAAGAAGGGACACUGGGCGAAAGACGAAGCCAGCAGGGCCGCGAGAGUGAUGAAGGCGGUAGGGAGGUAAAGCUCUUUUACCCGGGAUGAUAAUAACGGAACCGGGAAAAUAAGCUCCGGUUAACACGGU